Molecule: ribosomal RNA, 254 nt
Filed under: uncultured microorganism
Description: partial 16S ribosomal RNA
Rfam family: Archaeal small subunit ribosomal RNA
Source: RNAcentral
CACCGGCGGCUCGAGUGGUGGCCACUUUUAUUGGGUCUAAAGCGUCCGGAGCCGGCUUGGCAAGUCCCCUGGGAAAUCUGGCGGCUUAACCGUCAGGCGUCCAGAGGAUACUGCCAGGCUUGGGACCGGGAGAGGUGAGAGGUACCUCAGGGGUAGGGGUGAAAUCUUGUGAUCCCUGAGGGACCACCAGAGGCGAAGGCGUCUCACUAGAACGGGUCCGACGGUCAGGGACGAAAGCUGGGGGCACGAACCGG